This 253-nucleotide ribosomal RNA is filed under the name uncultured bacterium. RNAcentral describes it as "partial 16S ribosomal RNA". It matches the Rfam family "Bacterial small subunit ribosomal RNA", at positions 524 to 776 of the family's 1533-position model. The record is from RNAcentral.
UACGUAGGGGGCUAGCGUUGUCCGGAAUCAUUGGGCGUAAAGAGCGCGUAGGCGGCCCGGUAAGUCCGCUGUGAAAGUCGGGGGCUCAACCCUCGAAUGCCGGUGGAUACUGUCGGGCUAGAGUGCGGAAGAGGCGAGUGGAAUUCCUGGUGUAGCGGUGAAAUGCGCAGAUAUCAGGAGGAACACCAAUUGCGAAGGCAGCACUCUGGGACGUGACUGACGCUGAGACGCGAAAGCGUGGGGAGCAAACAGG